This 253-nucleotide ribosomal RNA is filed under the name uncultured Bacteriovorax sp. RNAcentral describes it as "partial 16S ribosomal RNA". It matches the Rfam family "Bacterial small subunit ribosomal RNA", at positions 524 to 776 of the family's 1533-position model. The record is from RNAcentral. Lineage: Bacteria; Pseudomonadati; Bdellovibrionota; Bacteriovoracia; Bacteriovoracales; Bacteriovoracaceae.
UACGAAGGGUGCAAGCGUUGUUCGGAUUUAUUGGGCGUAAAGCGCGCGUAGGCGGACCUUUAAGUCAGAUGUGAAAUCUCGGGGCUCAACCUCGAAACUGCGUCUGAAACUGGAGGUCUAGAAUCUUGGAGGGGGAAGGGGAAUUUCACAUGUAGGGGUAAAAUCCGUAGAUAUGUGAAGGAACACCAGAGGCGAAGGCGCCUUCCUGGACAAGUAUUGACGCUGAGGCGCGAAAGCGUGGGGAUCAAACAGG